Molecule: ribosomal RNA, 492 nt
Filed under: uncultured bacterium
Lineage: Bacteria
Description: partial 16S ribosomal RNA
Rfam family: Bacterial small subunit ribosomal RNA
Source: RNAcentral
AGUGAACGCUGGCGGUAGGCCUAACACAUGCAAGUCGAACGGCGGCACAGUAAGAGCUUGCUCUUACGGGUGGCGAGUGGCGGACGGGUGAGGAAUACAUCGGAAUCUACUUUUUCGUGGGGGAUAACGUAGGGAAACUUACGCUAAUACCGCAUACGACCUACGGGUGAAAGCAGGGGAUCUUCGGACCUUGCGCGAUUGAAUGAGCCGAUGUCGGAUUAGCUAGUUGGCGGGGUAAAGGCCCACCAAGGCGACGAUCCGUAGCUGGUCUGAGAGGAUGAUCAGCCACACUGGAACUGAGACACGGUCCAGACUCCUACGGGAGGCAGCAGUGGGGAAUAUUGGACAAUGGGCGCAAGCCUGAUCCAGCCAUACCGCGUGGGUGAAGAGGGCCUUCGGGUUGUAAAGCCCUUUUGUUGGGAAAGAAAAGCAGCAGGUUAAUACCCCGCUGUUCUGACGGUACCCAAAGAAUAAGCACCGGCUAACUUCGUG